GACGAACGCUGGCGGCGUGCUUAACACAUGCAAGUCGAACGGAAAGGCCCUGCUUUUGUGGGGGGCUCGAGUGGCGAACGGGGGUGUAUCACGUGAGUAACCUCCCCUUGACUUUGUGAGAACUUCAGGGAAAUGGGGCGAUAAUACGGUAUAAGCUCCUGUUGCAUGGUGGGGGUUGGAAAAUUUCGGCGGUUGGGGAUGGACUCGGGGCUUAUCAGCUUGUUUGUGGGGUAGGGGCUUACCAAGGCUUUGACGGGUAGCCGGCCUGGGAGGGUGACCGGCGACAUUGGGACUGAGAGACGGCGCAGACUGCUACGGGCGGCAGCAGUGGGGAAUAUUGCACAAUGGGCGGAAGCGUGAUGCAGCAACUCCGCGUGCGGGAUGACGGCCUUCGGGUUGUAAACCGCUUUCGCCUGUGACGAAGCGGGAGUGACGGUAAUGGGUAAAGAAGCACCGGCUAACUACGUG
This 468-nucleotide ribosomal RNA is filed under the name uncultured bacterium. RNAcentral's name for it is "partial 16S ribosomal RNA". It matches the Rfam family "Bacterial small subunit ribosomal RNA", at positions 28 to 507 of the family's 1533-position model. The record is from RNAcentral.